CAUGGAUACUUAGUACGGCGAGUGAGCGGUAAAAGCUCAAAUUUGAAAUCUGGUACUUUCAGUGCCCGAGUUGUAAUUUGUAGAAUUUGUCUUUGAUUAGGUCCUUGUCUAUGUUCCUUGGAACAGGACGUCAUAGAGGGUGAGAAUCCCGUUUGGCGAGGAUACCUUUUCUCUGUAAGACUUUUUCGAAGAGUCGAGUUGUUUGGGAAUGCAGCUCAAAGUGGGUGGUAAAUUCCAUCUAAAGCUAAAUAUUGGCGAGAGACCGAUAGCGAACAAGUACAGUGAUGGAAAGAUGAAAAGAACUUUGAAAAGAGAGUGAAAAAGUACGUGAAAUUGUUGAAAGGGAAGGGCAUUUGAUCAGACAUGGUGUUUUUUGCAUGCACUUGCCUCUCGUGGGCUUGGGCCUCUCAAAAAUUUCACUGGGCCAACAUCAAUUCUGGCAGCAGGAUAAAUCAUUAAGAAUGUAGCUACUUCGGUAGUGUUAUAGCUUUUUGGAAUACUGUUAGCCGGGAUUGAGGACUGCGCUUCGGCAAGGAUGUUGGCAUAAUGGUUAAAUGCCGCCCGUCUG
RNAcentral lists this ribosomal RNA (568 nucleotides) under Hanseniaspora uvarum. RNAcentral's name for it is "eukaryotic LSU rRNA". It matches the Rfam family "Eukaryotic large subunit ribosomal RNA", at positions 69 to 655 of the family's 3401-position model. Lineage: Eukaryota; Fungi; Ascomycota; Saccharomycetes; Saccharomycodales; Saccharomycodaceae. The record is from RNAcentral.